UUGGCACCUUCGACGCGAUUUUAGAGCUUGGUGAGCAUACAAAAACAGCGAAUAUUGUGAUUAAUUGUCGUCUGUCGAAUUCUAGUUCGAGAUUAAAGCUUUGCCGUGCGAAUAUUGUCGACAAUGGAGGUCGCUGAAGGGAAAUUAAAGACAAAACUCAUUCAAUUAAACAUAACAACGAAUAGAACAAAGUCUAUUGUGGAUAAUGGUCAAGCUGAAGCAAUAGAAAGACAUCUAAAAAC
Paramuricea clavata is the source of this 242-nucleotide non-coding RNA. Lineage: Eukaryota; Metazoa; Cnidaria; Anthozoa; Malacalcyonacea; Plexauridae. The record is from the annotation of a GenBank genome assembly.